Molecule: transfer RNA, 92 nt
Filed under: Nemania diffusa
Lineage: Eukaryota; Fungi; Ascomycota; Sordariomycetes; Xylariales; Xylariaceae
Description: tRNA-Arg
Rfam family: tRNA
About the family: Transfer RNA (tRNA) molecules are approximately 80 nucleotides in length. Their secondary structure includes four short double-helical elements and three loops (D, anti-codon, and T loops).
Source: RNAcentral
GGCCUCGUGGCCUAAUGGCUAGGGCGCUAGAUUUCGGUGGUACGAAGUAUCUGAUUCUCUAGAGAUUGUCGGUUCGAGUCCGGCCGAGGUCG